Gadus morhua (Atlantic cod) is the source of this 1758-nucleotide long non-coding RNA. The record is from Ensembl. NCBI's taxonomy places the organism in Eukaryota, Metazoa, Chordata, Actinopteri, Gadiformes, Gadidae.
UAAAUAAAUAUUAUUAGUAUAAUUAUCAUACAUCAUCUGUACUCUACACCACUCCUAUUUGUGAUGGGAGUGUCCAGAAGUGACUCUAUUUUUAAAGACCUUGUAAUGACUGAUCAGCCUCACAGCUGGUGGUGCAAUAGGGUCCCUUUAUCUCCCUGAGGUCAGACCUGUCAGGGUUGGCUGUGUAUCCUGGUGGGGGACAGGAAGCUCCUGGCUGGUGUUCCCGGCAGCGUUGGAGCUGUGGCAGGUCAAGGCUGUCAGACCAGCAGAGAAGCCCCUGACUGCAGCCCGCAGACGGAGCCCACAUGGAGGGGGCGGGCACUCAGUCCACAUGGAGGGGGCCGGCCCUCCGCCCACAUGGAGGGGGCGGGCACUCAGUCCACAUGGAGGGGGCCGGCACUCCGCCCACAUGGAGGGGGCGGAUACUCAUGCUGCGUUCGAGUAUUCUCUGCGAACCGACUCGGAUCUCGGAUCUGACGCCACGCCCGUCCACAUCGAGGGGGCGGCCACUCAGUUCACAUUGAGGACUGGUCAAACAGCAUGUGCAGCAUCUGAUCCCGUUUCUGACCUGAAAUUAGCUGAAAUGUACCUGAAAUUACCUGAAAUUAGAGUGUGCCCGCCCGAGCUAGUGAUGCCUAAAACAUGCAAAGACACGUCAGUGUAAUUGUGAAUGGCGAGAGCCCUGAAAUACAGCUGGACAGCAGCGGUCUACAUCACUGCCCCUUCUGCAGAUACAAAGGGUCAAAAUGUGAUAUCGACCAUCACAUUAAAUGCCAUGCCUCGGUUAAAUACAGAGGUACAUUUUCUUAUUUUUUUAUUAUUAUUAUUUAUAUUAUUAUUGUUAUUAUAUAUUUGUAUGUAUGUAAUGUAUGCCGUUUACUCACCAAGGUCUGCAGAGGAGCUUUCAGGAAGCAGGAAGAGAAGACGGGAGGAAAAAAAAGCUACAGACAAAACUGAAGACCAGGAACUGGAACCUGGGAACCUGGAAGAUUAUGUUGUCCUGAAGGACACAAUUCAGGCAGCAGCAUGGUGCCAGUUACAGUCCUUCAAGGACAGCGUUUCUCUCCCAGAGGUCAUUGGGAUGGAAGGUUGGGAGCAGAUGGCAGCAUCAACACAGCGCAAAUCCCAUGACGGCGGGGAUGAGGAAGAAACGUGGAAACCAUUCCAAUUCUCAUUCAGAUUACAUACUGACUAUGAACUGUUCUGUGUGGAGAGGAUGGACAGGAGAAACCUGAAGGUGUUUGCCUCUUUUGAGUCAAACACCUCUCCCCCUCCCCGUCCCCCCUCCCCGUCCCCCUCCCCGUGACGCCUGCGCCACACGACUCCAAUGUAGUCUGAUGAUGCAGCAUAAUGGCGGCGCUUGGCAGCUAUGGCGGCGGUGACGGCGAUGUCGUGCGACAGAGCGUGAAGCAAGAGUGGCAUCCACCUCACUGAGGAAGGCGUCAGUGUGUUCCCCCUUUGUUGUUUGACUUUGUUUGUUCUACUCUUUAUUGAUUUAUCUUUUAUGUUUAUAGUUUACAAUCUAUUUUUUGUAGUUGUUAUUUUUUAAUUGUUUUGUUGAAUAAAAAGACAGUUGUUAGUGCUCCUGUGAUUGGUGUAACUUAAUGUGCUUCACACAUGUAGCUUUUCAUUAUGUCUAUUGAGGUAAAUUUUUUGCCCUUAGAUGUGGUCACUUCGUUAUUCCUCACAUUACAUCUGUUAAGGCCAUACCUUUGGGUCCCAGUCUUCAUAGUUCCCCAAAUCUUAUUUUGGCUCUUA